GACGAACGCUGGCGGCGUGCCUAAUACAUGCAAGUAGAACGCUGAAGAGAGGAGCUUGCUCUUCUUGGAUGAGUUGCGAACGGGUGAGUAACGCGUAGGUAACCUGCCUGGUAGCGGGGGAUAACUAUUGGAAACGAUAGCUAAUACCGCAUAAAAUUGAUUAUUGCAUGAUAAUUAAUUGAAAGAUGCAACUGCAUCACUACCAGAUGGACCUGCGUUGUAUUAGCUAGUUGGCGAGGUAACGGCUCACCAAGGCGACGAUACAUAGCCGACCUGAGAGGGUGAUCGGCCACACUGGGACUGAGACACGGCCCAGACUCCUACGGGAGGCAGCAGUAGGGAAUCUUCGGCAAUGGGGGGAACCCUGACCGAGCAACGCCGCGUGAGUGAAGAAGGGUUUCGGAUCGUAAAGCUCGGUUGUAAGAGAAGAACGGGUGUGAGAGUGGAAAGUUCACACUGUGACGGUAUCUUACCAGAAAGGGACGGCUAACUACGUG
This 497-nucleotide ribosomal RNA is filed under the name uncultured bacterium. RNAcentral's name for it is "partial 16S ribosomal RNA". It matches the Rfam family "Bacterial small subunit ribosomal RNA", at positions 28 to 507 of the family's 1533-position model. The record is from RNAcentral.